AGCGAAUGCUGGCGGCAGGCCUAACACAUGCCAGUCGAACGAACCUUUCGGGGUUAGUGGCGGACGGGUGAGUAACACGUGGGAACGUGCCUUUAGGUUCGGAAUAACUCAGGGAAACUUGUGCUAAUACCGAAUGUGCCCUUCGGGGGAAAGAUUUAUCGCCUUUAGAGCGGCCCGCGUCUGAUUAGCUAGUUGGUUGAGGUAAUGGCUCACCAAGGCGACGAUCAGUAGCUGGUCUGAGAGGAUGAUCAGCCACAUUGGGACUGAGACACGGCCCAAACUCCUACGGGAGGCAGCAGUGGGGAAUCUUGCGCAAUGGGCGAAAGCCUGACGCAGCCAUGCCGCGUGAAUGAUGAAGGUCUUAGGAUUGUAAAAUUCUUUCACCGGGGACGAUAAUGACGGUACCCGGAGAAGAAGCCCCGGCUAACUUCGUG
RNAcentral lists this ribosomal RNA (434 nucleotides) under uncultured bacterium. RNAcentral's name for it is "partial 16S ribosomal RNA". It matches the Rfam family "Bacterial small subunit ribosomal RNA", at positions 29 to 507 of the family's 1533-position model. The record is from RNAcentral.